UGAUGAUGGUGAGGUCAAUUUUUGAGCAUACCCUUAAAUCUCUCCCAAGCUUGGUAGAGAUUCUCUCAUUCUUUCUGUCUAAAACUCAAGAUCUCACUCUUCAAGCA
This 107-nucleotide small nucleolar RNA is filed under the name Capsicum annuum. Its description in RNAcentral is "Plant small nucleolar RNA R71". It matches the Rfam family "Plant small nucleolar RNA R71". From Rfam's summary of the family: R71 is a member of the C/D box family of snoRNAs containing the C (UGAUGA) and D (CUGA) box motifs. Multiple nearly identical copies of this snoRNA have been identified in Arabidopsis, and it is thought to function as a 2'-O-ribose methylation guide for 18S ribosomal RNA. The record is from Rfam by way of RNAcentral. Lineage: Eukaryota; Viridiplantae; Streptophyta; Magnoliopsida; Solanales; Solanaceae.